Molecule: ribosomal RNA, 406 nt
Filed under: uncultured bacterium
Lineage: Bacteria
Description: partial 16S ribosomal RNA
Rfam family: Bacterial small subunit ribosomal RNA
Source: RNAcentral
AUUGAACGCUGGCGGCAGGCCUAACACAUGCAAGUCGAACGAGUGGCGGACGGGUGAGUAAUGUCUGGGACACUGCCUGAUGGAGGGGGAUCACUACUGGAAGCGGUAGCUAAUACCGCAUACCAUCAGAUGUGCCCAGAUGGGAUUAGCUAGUAGGUGGGGUAAUGGCUCCCCUAGGCGACGAUCCCUAGCUGGUCUGAGAGGAUGACCAGCCACACUGGGACUGAGACACGGCCCAGACUCCUACGGGAGGCAGCAGUGGGGAAUAUUGCACAAUGGGCGCAAGCCUGAUGCAGCCAGGCCGCGUGUGUGAAGAAGGCCUUAGGGGUGUAAAGCACUUUCAGCGGGGAGGCGUUACCCGCAGAAGAAGCACCGGCUAACUCCGUGCCAGCAGCCGCGGUAAUAC